This 2819-nucleotide long non-coding RNA is filed under the name Nicotiana tabacum (common tobacco). RNAcentral's name for it is "long non-coding RNA (NTAB_LNC006626)". Lineage: Eukaryota; Viridiplantae; Streptophyta; Magnoliopsida; Solanales; Solanaceae. The record is from RNAcentral.
AAAAAAGGAACAAGAGAGAAAUACAUUUAGUUUUUCCUUCACUGAUAAACUGAGAAAAGCCAGAAUGUUAGUCCUCCAAAUUGAAUUUUUCUUGGGGUAAGCUAAGGUACGUCAAUGCAUCAAUGUACGAUACGUGAUUUCUUUUCUUUUUCAUCUGCUUAAUCAGAGCCUUUGAGCCAAAAGCUAUGUAUGUGAUGCUACUUCUUAAUUCUUAUUACUAUGUUCAUGUAAAAAGAUUUGUGUUUACAUAGGCUAGCUAGCUAGGAUAAACACUGAAAAAAGUAAUGAACGGGGUUACUUCUUUUCCUUUUAUUAAAGUUUCUUGCACUACCAUAAGAUAAGUAGAUAUUUAUCAUCCAAUAAUGUUAAAUUUCGAAUGUUGGAUUAUGCCUAUGCCUUUUAACAGGUGUUGGCCAAUAGGAGGGUUUGGAUGAUGAAGGGUACUUAUUUGUAUAGAAUAGAAGGUAUGUAUGUACUCAAAUACUACGUCAGUUUGUGUAGCACAGGUUUUAACCAAAUCAAGAAAGCACAACUUUUUUGGUCAGGAUCUGGAAUAACAAAUUUUGCUAGAUUUCCUUGAAAUUGUUGUUUGGGUUCUUAACAAUCAGGAGAUUCUUCUGGCAAAACUUGAUUUUUGGUAUGGAAGAAAGAAUGCCAAAAGAUUUCAACAAUACCCAAACUUUCUUAUACCUUAUAUCUUGUGCUGUAGUAUAAAAUUUCCAUUUAUUAAAUUAAAUUAAAUUUAUUAAACUCUUAUUACUUUUUCUAUAGACCGUACGUUUUCCUGUUAGGGAUUUCAAUGCUGCUUUCAGCUGGUGGCCUAUCAAAUCUUUGAGAGGUAACUCUAAGCCUUGGAAAUAUAAUAUUUCCUCAGAGAUGUUUUCUUGCAUUGUCGCUACCAGUGUUUUACUGUCCAUAUUACACUUCAUUUUAUGGUCUGCCAAAGAGUGAAAAACUUGAGAAUAAACAGCCACAGAACCUUAUCCCCUAGUGAUAGCACAUUAUUUCACUAACAGGUGAGGUUCUGGACAUCUUAAUAGCCUGUUUGGCCAAAAGUGUUUUUUGUUUUGUUUUGCCAAAAGCACUUUUGGCCAAAAAUUGAGGUGUUUGGCCAAGCUUUUGGAAGGAAAAAAAAUGCUUUUGAGGAGAAGCAGAAGCAGUUUUUGAGAAGCAGAAAAAAACAGCUUCUCUCCAAAAGCACUUUUGAGAAAAAUACACUUAGAAACAAUUUUUUAAAGCUUGGCCAAAUACUAAUUGCUGCUCAGAAGUGCUUUUCAAACUAAUUAGCCAAACACAAACUGCUUAUCACCAAGAGUACUUAUGAGAAAAGAACUUCUCAAAAUAAGCUGAUUUUUGCAGCUUGGCCAAACGGGCUAUAUCCUUCCUCCCCGUAUAGGAAACAGUAAUUAUGUACUGACAAUCUCGAAAAGCCAAAAGAUAAUUAAGAAAACAAACCAAAAACCUACUUUCCUCCUAGUGAUGUUGCCCUUCGAACAAGAGUUAAUUCUGAGAAAUAGGUCUGUACUUUACUUCAGUUUUGUGUGGAACCCUUCAGAAACUAAAGUCAACUGUUUCAAAGAACUAAACAUCCUCGAGUAUAAAAUGAGAUGUGGAUAAAAGUAAUAUGAAAAUGAAACACAAACAGUACACGAGGGACUUUGGAAAAGCAGUUUUGAGCACACCAGAAAACACAGCACAUUGAAGCAUUUUAUUAGGGGAUCCCAACAUCUACAAGUCCAAAUAUAAGUAUCUUCAAACCGACUAUAUAACAAAGAUGUCUUCAUAGGACUCCCCAAUUAAUAUGAUCUCCAAUAAGCAAUUAUUACAAGACAGCAAUACCUCAACUAAAUAAAUUUUAGCUUUGGAACCAAACUGCUUCCUCCCUACCUUUGGCGAUCAAAGCUAAAGCUUCUUGAACUCAUUUUCACAUGUACCAUCUAAGCAUAACGGCAGGGGUCAGGAAUCAUCAUUGCUUUUAUUUUUGUCUGCAUCCUGACGCACAAAUUGCCCUCGCACACGCGGCCUCUGUUCUGCGAGUCUCUUUCUACUUUGGUACCGGACCUAAAAUAUAUGGAAAGAUAAUCCAGAUAAGUUUUGCUCUGUCAUUUAUUGACUGUUCAAUUGCUUCAACACCAAGAAAUGCUAAACAGUUUGAAUCAAAGUUUAAAUGGUAAAAAACUUAUCAUUUCACUGAUUAGACGUAGCAGGCAAAGUUGCAUCGUUGACUUCAUGUGAAAAUUUUUGAAUGCAAGAAUGUACUAUGAUAAAAAGGAAAAAUAAAGAAAAAAGUAAUGGGAAUAGGUAUGCUGAAAGGCAUAAAAAGAAGCUUAAGUGGGAUUUCGACAAACUACAGAAUCUGGUUAGAUCUAAGCAGGACUUCAAUCAUGUAUUGCAAUCAUAGAAAUGAUCCAGUCACAAUUACCUUUUUCUCAAAGCACCUCUCCUUCCUCUUUUGCCGGAAUUUAAUCAAAGCAGCCACUCUUUGAGCCGAGUGAUCACUUCUGCUUGCACUUCCACUCACGCUGCCAAUUUCACAUUUUUCACCCGCUUCAUUUUCAGCAACCAAAUUUGUUCCUUCAGCAAUUAGAGCAGUGCUGCUACCAUUUUGGCCACUGCUUCCAUUUUGCCCAUUGCUUCCAUUGUUACUUCCUGAUGCACUUCCAUAAUUAGCAGCGUCUCCUUCAACAGGAGUUCCUACCAUGUCAGAUGUUCCGAAAUUUGGAGCAGCUCCAACAGCAUUUCUCAUGGUCGAAUCAUCAGUGUCAAGCAGCUGUUGUUGCUGCUUCAGGUCAAGUACAUGGUGGUGAUGGUGAUGGUAG